GGUCUCCGUUGGUGAACCAGCGGAGGGAUCAUUACUGA
This 38-nucleotide ribosomal RNA is filed under the name Colletotrichum gloeosporioides. Its description in RNAcentral is "partial 18S ribosomal RNA". RNAcentral also lists the same sequence under 1 other name. Lineage: Eukaryota; Fungi; Ascomycota; Sordariomycetes; Glomerellales; Glomerellaceae. The record is from RNAcentral.